Pungitius pungitius (ninespine stickleback) is the source of this 2987-nucleotide RNA transcript. It is a transcript of the gene named cytochrome P450 4B1, with no coding region annotated. The record is from RefSeq and is a predicted model, not a curated record. NCBI's taxonomy places the organism in Eukaryota, Metazoa, Chordata, Actinopteri, Perciformes, Gasterosteidae. The transcript is spliced from 14 exons.
CUCAGGGGCCAGGUCCACCUCUGCCGCCGGAUUGGGGAAGGGCAGAGGAAGCCCUCCUGCAUGGAAGCUCCUCCCGGAGCUCCCGUGGGCUGGUUCUCGUGAGCCCAUGGAGCAUUGACAGCUGCAAACAAGUAGUGGAUUAAUGCUCAUCUGAUCAGAGAACGAAGGGUCUGUCCCUCUGUUGUAAUUUGAACUUCAAAAAGCAUGCGCUGGUUUGUGAAUGAGUGUUCCCAAUUAGAAUGUUCACACUGCACCUUCAUUCUGGAGCAGAAGAAGCUUUGAUGUUGCUCUAUUCCUUUCUCGUCUUUAUAAUACAGCAGUCUUGGUGCAUUAUGGUCACCUUUUUUGUAGAACCGUUUGAUGGAGUUUAAAUGGCUUUUGUGAAGCGAACAAGGAAUCACAGCUUGACAUCCCAGCGAGAACACCAGGUCAGUUUUGGCUGCCAAAUAGAAGCGUCUCAUUACACUUACAAUAGUGUAACAUAUAAAUAGUGUAAUGAGUACACAAAUUGCAUCCUAAAUGCAGUGUAAUGUGAAAUAUUUUGUCAGUUACUUACUGUUUCUCGAGGUAGAGGCCGAUGAGCUCAAAAAAAUAAGUAGAAAAACUAGGACCUUCAACAUUGUGCUUGAGGCACUCAGACUAAAGUGAAGUGAAACGCCCUCUCGCUGGUUAACGACUCAUCAACAUCCUCAUCCGAGAGCCUGCUUUGCACCACGAGGUUUUAGACUCAGCCUAACGACCAAAUUCACAGGGGCUCAUCGGAAGUGGUCCAACAGACAAUGCGGGGGAACUUUUUUUCUCACGCUGUGAUAUGAUUUAUUGUCCUUCUGCAUAUGUGUUAGGAUACAGCAUGUGCAUCAGUGUCACUAAUACUGCUGAAGACGUCAGUAAACAGCUGAGUAAACAGUGAGUUUGUUUAUUUUUAGGAUUCAGUACCAAACAACGUGUAGGGGUGAAGAAAUUGCACAAAUCACCUGUUGGUCUGAUGCUGGAGCCGAUUGGCUUUACUUCACCUAGGUUUGGUUACAUGUACAUCUAACACUUUGCUCAAAAGCACUACAAAAUCUUUUUUUAAAUACACUAAAAAAACAACAACAACAACAACAACAAAUCACUGAUCAUUUCUCUUUAUAGCAUUCUCAGAAAUCCUACACUUCCACCAGAACGUGAAGGCACCACCAUGCAGUCAGCCGGAGAGCCUUUUCCUACCAUCUCGGACGAUUACGUCACACUUGAGGCGUAACUUUCCUGUUCGCUGCACGCGUCUUCUUCUGUCGUCCCGAAUGGAGUCACCUGCGGCCCCCUGGGUCUCUGCUCCGGACUGGCCUCGGACGCAUCACUGGGCCGUCGUGACCGCGCUGUGUCUCGUCGCCGCCGUCUACAAGCUCGCGGCGCUGCUCGCGCAAAGGAGGCACGCGCUGCGGAACGCGGAGUCCUUCCCGGGGCCCCGCGCGCACUGGCUGUUUGGAAACGUCAGGGAGUUUAAACAAGAUGGGAAUGACUUGGACAGGGUUGUGAAAUGGGGGGAGCACGACCCGUAUGCUUUCCCCAUAUGGUUUGGUCCCUUUGUCUGUUACCUCAACAUUCACCAUCCGGAUUACGUGAAAACUGUUUGGACGUCAUCAGAGCCAAAAGAUCGUGUCGCAUAUAGCUUCAUUGAGGCGUGGAUUGGUGAAGGCUUAUUGGUGUCAAAAGGUCAGAAGUGGUUUAGACACAGGAGACUCCUAACCCCAGGUUUCCAUUAUGAGGUUCUGAAACCAUACGUAGAUCUGAUGUCCGACUCCACUGUGACUAUGCUGGACAAAUGGGAAAGAUACGCAAAAAGCAAUGAGUCCUUUGAGCUGUUCGAACACGUGAGCCUCAUGACCCUGGACAGCAUCCUGAAGUGCGCCUUCAGCGACGACAGCCACUGCCAGACCGAGAGUGGAACGAAUGCAUACAUCAAAGCGGUGUAUGAGCUCAGUUACAUCAUCAACCUGCGGUUCCGGACGUUUCCGUACCACAGCGACCUCAUUUUCUACCUCAGUCCACAUGGCUUCAGAUUUAGAAAAGCAUGCAAGGUGGCUCACAGCCACACCGAGGAAGUCAUAAGAAAAAGAAAAGAAGCACUCAAAGGGGUGAAUCGGCCCGACGGCAUCCGAGCCAAGCGGAACUUGGACUUUCUGGACAUCCUUCUCUCAGCAAGAGAUGAGAACCAACAGGGUCUGUCAGACGAAGAUCUACGAGCGGAGGUGGACACCUUCAUGUUUGAGGGCCACGACACCACCGCCAGCGGCUUGUCGUUCAUCCUCUACUCUCUGGCCUGCCAGCCGGAGCACCAGAGGCUCUGCAGGGAGGAGAUCCUUCGAACCCUGGACGGAAGGGACACCCUCUCGUGGGAGGAUCUCGGUAAAAUUCCCUACACCACAAUGUGCAUAAAAGAAUCCCUGCGCCUUUACCCCCCUGUGCCCGGAACGUCCAGAGUCACAACCAAACCCAUGACCUUCUUUGAUGGAAGGACUUUGGAAGCAGGUUGUCUUGUUGGAACAAGUGUGUUUGGGAUUCACAGGAAUGCGUCUGUCUGGGAAAACCCGAAUGUCUUUGACCCGCUGCGUUUUCUCCCAGAGAAUGUUUCCAAGAGGUCUCCACAUGCAUUCGUGCCCUUCUCAGCAGGACCGAGCUCCACCUUUUCACCAACACAGUACAAACUGUGAGGAUCAAACCCCAAAGGGAAACGAUUUGUGCAAAUCCCUGCUACCAGCAGAAAAAAAGGCACUCGUUGACUGCACAUGGACUCAUGGGGAACAUAAAAGGCUUAUCUUUGUGUUCCCCCUGCUCCAAUGUCCGACCCUUUGAAAGAUAAUAAGACUCAUUUGAAACUGCAUUGGGCAGACCUUCGCCAUGAAUGAGCUGAAAGUGGCGACAGCCCUGACGCUGAGGAGAUACCAGCUGAUCGAGGACCCCACUCAGAGACCCAAGUUAUUAGCUCAGCUGGUGCUCCGCUCGAU